ACUGGAACACGCAAGAGGGGCAGCCACCCCUGGUCUCAUUGGCACAUACGGGUCAUCCUCAUCUUCAUCGAAAGCUCUGGCUCUAUUUUCCACGGUCACCAUCGUCAGAAUUUUUCCCACUUCCUGAGUUCUUGCCACCACCUGAGCCAUGACCAUCUCCAGUGUUGCCAGAGCUGGAACCGGAGGCUUCACGGGCUCUGUCGUUGGGGACAUCUUCAGGCUGUGGGAUCCUUCCCGGGCUAGGUGCUGAGCGUCGGAAAAGGCUGGGUGGUACUGACGCGGCUCUCCUGGACCUGCGGGCUCUGGGCAGGUGCCCUCUUCCUCGCCUAAAGGGAGGCGGAGGCUCUCUGGGUGAGAUGAAGCGCCUGGUGAAUAGCAUCUCUUCCCUCUCACGGAUAGCUCUGAGGCGGCAAAACUGCUCCAAGCCGUAUCUUCUGAGCCAGCCACCAGGCUCCAGCGGGAGCAAGCCCAGGUGCCUCCUAGUGGACAGCAGGGUUAACAGGUGGGCGCCAAUACUGAUGCUGUAGCUGCGGCAUCGGGCUCUGUAUUCAUCUGCGCACAAGGCUCUCAUCUUCUCCAGAAACAGCUCAUGCAUAUUUUGGGCCACCACGGAGUCAUCCACUUGCAUCCACAGCUCCCCCGGACCUAUGACAGUGGAUCUGCCGACUUCCAAGAAGAAGUACUGCUCCGAGUGCCCACAGCGACGAAUGCUCAGCAGCUGGACGACCACACUGGCCACUUCGGUAUUGAGCCUUACAAACACUACCUCUUCGUCGGUAAGACACAGCCGGAACACGCCGCUCAGCUCUUUUCUGUGCCCCAGCCCCCUGGGUUUCACUACUACCUGCCACACAUCUUUGUAGAAGGGUGGCUCCGCCGCCGCUGCGGCCGCCAGGGCUGCCGGCUCUCCGUCCGGCAGUGCGCCUAGCGUGCCGCAGCGGCGGCGCUUGCUCUCGAGGAUGAGGCGGCUGAGGAGCAAGUACCAGCUUUCUUGUUCCGACUCGUUCUCGGCCACCAUCGCGAAGUAUUCGUCCUGGGUAAAAAGGGCAAUGAGGUGUCGGUACCUGGCAUCGGCGCGCUGGCUCACGGAGAAGCAUUGGUACAGGAUGAUCACGCGCCGUGGUGGGAUGAGCGCGGGGACCGCAGCACCGGAGGCGGCCGCCUCUGCUGCAGCCGCCGCGGCGCGGACACUGUGCCGGAACUUCCUGGCAUUUCGGUAGUAUUCGAGUCGAGCUGGAGCGUCUGCGGUCUCGAGUUUGAGCACGAAGUAACGCCUAUGCCCAUGCUUCUGCUUCCUCAGGUAGCCGCGUUUGCAGACUUCAUCCCCGACGGGGAGGUCCUCCUCUUCGGAUUCCGAGUCUGACCGGGAGCCAGUGGCUGUGGAGAGCCACAUGGCUCCCGGACAGGACGACCCGGUCCCAAUGAGUGCGGUCCGGGUUCCCGAGGAAAGGAGCGGGGUGGUCGCCACUGCUGCUAGAGCUGCGGAGGCUGCUGCUGCUGCUGAGGCUCUCAGUCUCCUAAGCGCUUGGUGGCCAGAGAAGGAGCAACUCGCCAUGGUGAUGCACCGUGGUUUUAAGGUGAGCGGAGGGGAGGGGGGGCUCGAGAAGGGAGGGCUUUGGGGGGAGAAGAGGCAGUCUCCCCCUGUCUGCCCGCCCCAGACCCCUCCCGCCUAGGCCCGCGUCCCCGCCCACUUCACUGGGCUCAAGGCAGUGGGCAAAACAACACGUGACCGUCGCCUCACGCGGCAGCUCGCACCACAGGCAGCUACCCCAGCGGUGGAGGGGCGCAAGCGGCCACCAGUAAAGCUCACAUUUUCCCUUCCGAUCGCAGUUUGCUCUAGUUCCACCCGCCUCUCACUUUGAGCUGUGCUUCUUAGCAGAAAAUGUCAGUUAUCUCUGGAAACGCGGCAAGGACCUGGGUCCUCAGACCUGCUACACACCAGGCUGCACACCAGGCUGCACACGCCUCCUCGCCCUCUCCACCCCUGACAAAAGCCAGGGACUCCAAAGACUCGGGAAUUACGGCGAUGCCUUCAAAAUUAACGCUAUCUGUACACAGAGUGUAUUUCUAGUCCACGAAAACACAGGUUUGCUAGAUGUGAUGUUUCUAUUUGAUUGAUGACGACUAUAAAAGUACAAAUUUGGGGGCCUGCGAAGUAUACAGCCAUGUUGGAAAAAGCCGGACUUGAUUCUUUUCUGAAAACCAAUAUUGAGCUGUCAAGAUAUUCCCCCCACAUCCCAGGGCAGUACUUUGAACUGUACCCUUAAGGAAUUAACAAAUAGUAACUUUCUUUGUCCUUGAAGGAGACCGAGAAACUUUAUGAAAAAGAAAAGCUCUUAUCUAGAACAAAGGACUGUAUGAAUAUAUACCCUUGAAUAUAUUUUGCAUCCUUUACUUCAGGAAGGUCUUUGCUUCAUUUCAGUUUACAAAUGAUAUCACAAAAAUAAUGAAUCUACUGCCUCCCUUCUUGGAGAAAGUGCCGGAGUGUAAGGUGUAAGUGCAACCUUCUAAAAACUGUCCUCUUCUCUUCUCUCCUCUCCUCUCCUCUCCUCUCCUCUCCUCUCCUCUCCUCUCCUCUCAGUCUCUGCCUUGUCUCUGGCUCUCUCAUCUCAGAUAGCGACAGGUUGAGAUGUUAUUAAAGUAUCAAAGAAGCGACUGCAUUUGAAAAGAGGGAUAGAGGAACGCAUAGCAUUUCUCUUUCAGAGAGAGAGAGGAAUGUCAAUUUACCUUUCCUAUCGUAGAUACUGCAAAGGGGAAAUAGUUAUAAAUCCAACAGCAAAAUAGGCAGGGAUACAUUAUAAAAAUAGACUCCAUCUCCUUUUUUCUUAAGAAUUCUCUUUGUUAGCAACAGAAGAACUACAUUCAAAUAGAUGGCACUUUCCUGAUGGUCAGGUUUAGAGUGGGGGAAGUGGUUUUAUUUGGGCCCCAAAGAUUAGGAACAGUCAUUAACAUGUCUUUUGCCUCCAGCCAGUGUAUUCACAGGUGCUAGAAACAACUGUGCUUUUGGAAAUGGGCUGGAGGCAGGAUGAAUAAGGGGCUGAAAGCAGCAUGAAUGUGAAUGAACUGGGGUCUCUACCUACAGGUUUCAACUGCUUCGUUACAUAUGUACAAGGUUAAAUGCACUUAAAUUCAAAACGAUCAUGGAUACAUUAAUUUGAAGUUAUAACAUUUUACAACUUUAUAAAUUCACGGUUUUGCUUCUGAUAGAAUUGUUAAAAAAAAGACAAUGCAUUUGAAAAUACUGUAACUUAACAUUUAAAAAUAUAUCAAAUACAUUAAGGCUCUUGUUAAAUAGAAUUUGGAAAAUAAUGAACAAAUUCAAGAAUCCUUGUGUCUCUACCACCUGUGUAUAAACAGUUUCUACAUGGAGCAAUAUAGACUUACAUGUAAUUUUGAUACCUUAUUCUUUUCAAUCAGCACUAUAAGGUAAUACUUUCCCAUAUUUCUAUGAUACCUAUACAGUUGUGGUAAAACAAUAUAUUGUCUGUUCUAAGGUAUGUUGCUAUAAUUAAUCAUUUACAGUAUUGUAAAUAACACUCCAAUUAAUAUCUUGAAUCUACUUUAAAAUGUUUAAAUAAUUACCUUUGCAGACUGGAGACUAGAAUUACUGGAGUAAAAUAGCAAUAUUUCAUACAUAAUUUAAAAAGUAUUUUAUUACUUUAUUCUUCUACUACAUUAUUUGUUGUUAUAUAUUCUUCAUUUUUAAAAAAAAUCCUGAUAUACAAAAUGCUAUCCCACUGUUAUAAUUUUAAUUUUGUUUGUCAGUAAGGUAAAAUGCUUAUUUGUGUGUCUACCCACUAUGUUUUGCCUUCUAUGAAGCAUCUUUUUAAAUCCUUGGAUUUAUCUAUUGGAUUCUUAUUGUAAUAUUGAUUUGCUUAUAUAAUAAAUAUU
Long non-coding RNA from Mus musculus (house mouse), 3891 nucleotides. RefSeq annotates it as predicted gene 15295. The transcript is spliced from 4 exons. NCBI's taxonomy places the organism in Eukaryota, Metazoa, Chordata, Mammalia, Rodentia, Muridae. The record is from RefSeq and is a predicted model, not a curated record.